RNAcentral lists this ribosomal RNA (509 nucleotides) under Eimeria sp. 17_1. RNAcentral's name for it is "SSU rRNA". It matches the Rfam family "Eukaryotic small subunit ribosomal RNA", at positions 636 to 1149 of the family's 1831-position model. Lineage: Eukaryota; Apicomplexa; Conoidasida; Eucoccidiorida; Eimeriidae. The record is from RNAcentral.
GGAUUUCUGUCGUGGUCAUCCGGCUCCGCCUGUAUGGGUGUGCGCCUGGUUUGCCCUCGGCUUUCUUCCGGUAGCCUGCCGCGCUUCACUGCGUGUGUGGGGGUUCCGGAACUUUUACUUUGAGAAAAAUAGGGUGUUUCAAGCAGGCUUGUCGCCCUGAAUACUUCAGCAUGGAAUAAUAAGAUAGGACCUUGGUUCUAUUUUGUUGGUUUCUAGGACCAAGGUAAUGGUUAAUAGGGACAGUUGGGGGCAUUCGUAUUUAACUGUCAGAGGUGAAAUUCUUAGAUUUGUUAAAGACGAACUACUGCGAAAGCAUUUGCCAAGGAUGUUUUCAUUAAUCAAGAACGACAGUAGGGGGUCUGAAGACGAUUAGAUACCGUCGUAAUCUCUACCAUAAACUAUGCCGACUAGAGAUAGGGAAUGCAUUAUCCCAAUCUUCCCUGCACCUCAUGAGAAAUCAAAGUCUCUGGGUUCUGGGGGGAGUAUGGUCGCAAGGCUGAAACUUAAAG